This 484-nucleotide ribosomal RNA is filed under the name uncultured bacterium. RNAcentral's name for it is "partial 16S ribosomal RNA". It matches the Rfam family "Bacterial small subunit ribosomal RNA", at positions 30 to 507 of the family's 1533-position model. The record is from RNAcentral.
AUUGAACGUUGGCGGAAUGCUUUACACAUGCAAGUCGAACGGCAGCACGGGGGCAACCCUGGUGGCGAGUGGCGAACGGGUGAGUAAUACAUCGGAACGUGCCCGGUCGUGGGGGAUAACGUAGCGAAAGUUACGCUAAUACCGCAUACGAUCUGAGGAUGAAAGCGGGGGACCUUCGGGCCUCGCGCGAUCGGAGCGGCCGAUGUCAGAUUAGGUAGUUUGUGGGGUAAAGGCCUACCAAGCCGACGAUCUGUAGCUGGUCUGAGAGGACGACCAGCCACACUGGGACUGAGACACGGCCCAGACUCCUGCGGGAGGCAGCAGUGGGGAAUGUUGGACAAUGGGCGCAAGCCUGAUCCAGCCAUUCCGCGUGCAGGACGAAGGCCUUCGGGUUGUAAACUGCUUUUGUAUGGAACGAAAAGGCUCUGGCUAAUACCUGGGGCUCAUGACGGUACCGUAAGAAUAAGCACCGGCUAACUACGUG